GUGUCAGCAGCCGCGGUAAUACGGAGGGUCCGAGCGUUAUCCGGAAUUAUUGGGUUUAAAGGGUCCGCAGGCGGGCCAGUAAGUCAGGGGUGAAAGUUUGCGGCUUAACCGUAAAAUUGCCUUUGAUACUGCUGGUCUUGAGUUGCGGUGAAGUGGCCGGAAUAUGUGGUGUAGCGGUGAAAUGCAUAGAUAUUACAUAGAAUACCGAUUGCGAAGGCAGGUUACUAACCAUAUACUGACGCUGAUGGACGAAAGCGUGGGGAACGAACAGGAUUAGAUACCCUUGUAGUCC
Molecule: ribosomal RNA, 292 nt
Filed under: uncultured prokaryote
Description: partial 16S ribosomal RNA
Rfam family: Bacterial small subunit ribosomal RNA
Source: RNAcentral